Molecule: long non-coding RNA, 518 nt
Organism: Mandrillus leucophaeus (drill)
Lineage: Eukaryota; Metazoa; Chordata; Mammalia; Primates; Cercopithecidae
Exons: 2
Source: RefSeq, a predicted model, not a curated record
UCAACUAUUUGCAGAAUUAAGCUCCUCAAAUCACCCUCAUUUAGGAUUUAAUUUUAUUUUGGAGAUGUGUGCUUUACUCAUGUGUUUCAAGAGAUCCAUGAUUUAUAAAGUACUUUUAACACAUUUCGUGCACUUACAUAGGAAUGUGGCUGCCAGAGACCUGGUGCUUCCUGGGGAUAGCUGGCAUAGAUUUGCACCACAGCAGUCAUAUUAAAUUAAAGCUCUUGCUUCUAUUGAGCCAAACUGGAGUUUAGACUCUCCUUCAGCAUGAUGUUCCAGGUGGUACUGUGAAGUCCGUGAGAUGGCAUCCAUCUGUGAACUAGACUUUGCUUUGGCUCAGUUGAGUGUGUUACUGUUUCAGUGUUCAUCUAAAUGAAUUAUUAUAUGACUAAAAUAUUAUAAAUACAAGAAAUGGAGCAUGUAAUCACCAUAAACUUUUAAAAUCUCAUAAUAAAUGUAUAAGCCCUUCAUCAGUGACUUCCUUCUCUUUUUCUCACAUUAAAACAGUACCUUGACUA